AGGGAAAUCAACUGCCCCUCAAUGA
RNAcentral lists this transfer RNA (25 nucleotides) under Callisaurus draconoides rhodostictus. RNAcentral describes it as "partial tRNA-Lys". Lineage: Eukaryota; Metazoa; Chordata; Lepidosauria; Squamata; Phrynosomatidae. The record is from RNAcentral.